GGGGAAUAAAUAGGGUAGGAGAAUUGCUUUAUUUUUGUUCAUAAACAAUAAUUAUGAAUUUACAGACAACCUUUCAAAGAGUUGUUUGGGGGUGUGCAGGAUAAUGAACAGAGGAUUGGGCAAGCUGCUGGAUCAGAAGAUAAAAGAAGUGUCCUUUACAGAUGGCCCAUCCUCAGCAUUGGCUUGAAGACACAUAGAUCUUAUCCAAAAUGUCUGUCUGAGGAACCACUGAAUUUCCUUUUACUUUAACAACUGGAUGAAUGCAACUCAGUUCAACUGUCAUUUCCCUCUAGUGAUUAUUAAUUACAGAUGACUGAUAAAUAGUUCAAAAAGUCAUGCUUACACAAUGUUGAAUACCAACUUUAAAAUGUAUUACUUCAACAAUUUCAAAUAAACUUCCAAGCAAGAA
Leopardus geoffroyi (Geoffroy's cat) is the source of this 409-nucleotide long non-coding RNA. RefSeq lists it as uncharacterized. The transcript is spliced from 2 exons. NCBI's taxonomy places the organism in Eukaryota, Metazoa, Chordata, Mammalia, Carnivora, Felidae. The record is from RefSeq and is a predicted model, not a curated record.